RNAcentral lists this transfer RNA (64 nucleotides) under Falcolipeurus quadripustulatus. Its description in RNAcentral is "tRNA-Ala". The record is from RNAcentral. Lineage: Eukaryota; Metazoa; Arthropoda; Insecta; Psocodea; Philopteridae.
GGGGUAGUAGUUUAAUAAAAACAGUUCAAUUGCAGUGAAUUAAUACACUAAGGUGUGUACCUUC